CCAGGGCCAGCAGGAGGAGAAGGAGGAGACAGACACCAUCACCCUGUUCCUGGAGCCAGUGCCUGUGAACCAGAAUGUCUCCCAGGCUUCGUCUGAUGCUGGGGAGUGAUUUUCAGGUAUAUGGCUGCUGUAUCCAUUAUGAACACAUAACUCCAUUUAAAGAUGAACUAAGGAAGCCAAGCACACAUUGCAUCUAGUCAUCUGUUUGUUAAAGAAAAUGUAAUGAUGCACUUUCCAGAGAAGUGGUUCCCACAAAACCUGCCAAUACCUUAGAGACAUGCAAGAUGCAAGAGAGAUGCAAGCCUAUGUAUGCAUGACUGUAAAGUCAACUCCCUUAACAGUUAGGCAACUGCAACAAAUAAGAGAUGAAAUGGAGGAUGAUGAAUAACUGGGAAGCCUUAAAGAAGUGAUCAUUAAAGAAUCACCUGAAGAAAUAAGCAGUUGCCGUCCAAGCCUAAGAGACUAUCGGAACUGCAGACAUGAACUGAAUGAGACAGAUGGGAUGAUUUUCAAGGGCAGUAAGGUUGUGAUUCCAAUGAUUCUCUGAAAGGAAAUGCUACAGAAGAUUCAUGAGGGUCAUUUAGAAAUUGAGAAGUGCAAACAACAAGCACGACAGGUGCUAUAUUGCCAUAGAUCAAUCACAACAUCACUAAUGAGGUAGCAAACUCUUUUUUCUGCUUGAAAAAUCAAGCCAUACCAAAAGACAGAGCCACUGAGACAUCAAACAGUUCCACUAAGGCCUUAUGAGAAGGUCGACACUGACUUAUUUACCUGACAAUGAAAGGAUUAUUUAAUAGUCACAGAUUAUUAUUCUUGGUAUCCAGAAGAUUGCCUAUUGCACAGGACCAAUAGUAAGUCAAUGGCAGUUGACAUGAAGGGAAUCCUUUCUCCAGACAUUGUCUUCCAGAUAAAGUCUUAAAAUAAUGGGCCACAAUUUUCCAAUGUAGAUUUCAGGCAAUUUGCCACAGAUUGGGAUUUUCAUCAAAAUCAUCAAGUCCAAAUAACCCGCAAGUCAAAUGGAAUGUGCAAAGGUCUAUACAGGCAGUAAAGAACGUUAUGAAAAAACCUCAAAACUUUUGACAAAGGGUGAUUUGUAUAAAAAUAUGUAUUGGUCCACCAAAUAACACUUCUGAAGAAUGGCUUUUCUCCAGCUGACUUUUUAAUGGGAAGAAGGAUUAGAUCUAAUUUACCAGUUACUGAGAAUUUGCUGAAAUUUCAUAAAAAUGAAACAAUAUGAAGAUAAAAGAAAAUUAGAAGUGGAAGGAGGAAUAUUAUUUUGAGAAAUAGACACAUGACUCUAAUCUCUUCAUGCUAGUGAUAGAGGAAUGCCUGAGGAAUCAUACCUCUAAUACUUUGUUAAUUAUUUUUUCUUGAAGAGGAACAAUGUAGAGGUAUGUUUAUGAAAGACUGUGAUUUGGAGAUGCUUCCUCAUAAGGGACUGUGUUGUGAGAUUGGAAAUUUGGGAUGUGCCUUGGAAGUGAGUGCUGGAAACAAUGCA
Pelodiscus sinensis (Chinese soft-shelled turtle) is the source of this 1498-nucleotide non-coding RNA. Lineage: Eukaryota; Metazoa; Chordata; Testudines; Trionychidae. The record is from RefSeq and is a predicted model, not a curated record.